RNAcentral lists this long non-coding RNA (587 nucleotides) under Linum usitatissimum (flax). RNAcentral's name for it is "long non-coding RNA (LUSI_LNC006450)". Lineage: Eukaryota; Viridiplantae; Streptophyta; Magnoliopsida; Malpighiales; Linaceae. The record is from RNAcentral.
CGAAUAAAUGUUGGACUUGGAUUAAAUAUUAUGAAUCCUCUUAUCACACGUAUGAAUCCAUGACACGAACAUCCACGAGGAUUACCACUACUAGUUUUCCAAUCAAGGUUGGAAUAAUCUCAACUAGGCUAACCGAUAAUGAACACCGAGAAGUUCUACAAAGUGAUAAGGUGAUCUUUCAGAAAUUUUCAAGGAAAUCCCGAGUCAUUGGAAUUAGCAUUAACUUGGUCCAUCAAUACCUAAGCUACUAAUAAUUACACCCAAUCUAGUUCUUGUUAUCCAUAUGAUGCACAUGUUGGAGAUUUCACUCAACAAUGGGUAUCAGAAAGGUGUUUCCUUUCCUAGAAACGAAACCUUGUUGACAGAACACAAAAUCAUUUGUGUCCCCAGGAAGUAGGGGAGUCACAAGGACUACUUAAAUCCCUACAGUCUUAGGAAUCAUUUCUUUAGAAUACCCAAGUUGAGAACUUCGUGCACAACAAUGUUCCAGAGAACUUAGGGGGAUCUUGGAUCGUGACGGAAUCGUGGAUACCACUUUUCGAAAAGAGUAUCUCGACCCUUAUAAGCCUUGGGUUACAGGAAAUCUC